AUUGAACGCUGGCGGCAGGCCUAACACAUGCAAGUCGAACGAGUGGCGGACGGGUGAGUAAUGUCUGGGAAACUGCCCGAUGGAGGGGGAUAACUACUGGAACCGGUAGCUAAUACCGCAUACCAUCAGAUGUGCCCAGAUGGGAUUAGCUAGUAGGUGGGGUAACGGCUCACCUAGGCGCCGAUCCCUAGCUGGUCUGAUAGGAUGACCAGCCACACUGGAACGUAGACACGGUCCAGACUCCUACGGGAGGCAGCAGUGGGGAAUAGUGCACAAUGGGCGCAAGCCUGAUGCAGCCAUGCCGCGUGUGUGAAGAAGGCCUUCGGGUUGUAAAGCACUUUCAGCGGGGAGGCGUUACCCGCAGAAGAAGCACCGGCUAACUCCGUGCCAGCAGCCGCGGUAAUAC
Molecule: ribosomal RNA, 406 nt
Filed under: uncultured bacterium
Lineage: Bacteria
Description: partial 16S ribosomal RNA
Rfam family: Bacterial small subunit ribosomal RNA
Source: RNAcentral